UACAGAGGGGGCAAGCGUUGUUCGGAAUUACUGGGCGUAAAGGGCGCGUAGGCGGCCUUCUAAGUCAGACGUGAAAUCCCUCGGCUCAACCGGGGAACUGCGUCUGAGACUGGAAGGCUUGAAUCCGGGAGAGGGAUGUGGAAUUCCAGGUGUAGCGGUGAAAUGCGUAGAUAUCUGGAGGAACACCGGUGGCGAAGGCGGCAUCCUGGACCGACACUGACACUGAGGAGCGAAAGCCAGGGGAGCAAACGGG
Molecule: ribosomal RNA, 253 nt
Filed under: uncultured bacterium
Lineage: Bacteria
Description: partial 16S ribosomal RNA
Rfam family: Bacterial small subunit ribosomal RNA
Source: RNAcentral